This 589-nucleotide ribosomal RNA is filed under the name uncultured bacterium. Its description in RNAcentral is "partial 16S ribosomal RNA". It matches the Rfam family "Bacterial small subunit ribosomal RNA", at positions 355 to 1375 of the family's 1533-position model. The record is from RNAcentral.
UGGGGAAUUUUGGACAAUGGGCGAAAGCCUGAUCCAGCAAUGCCGCGUGUGUGAAGAAGGCCUUCGGGUUGUAAAGCACUUUUGUCCGGAAAGAAAUCCUUGGCUCUAAUACAGUCGGGGGAUGACGGUACCGGAAGAAUAAGCACCGGCUAACUACGUGCCAGCAGCCGCGGUAAUACGUAGGGUGCAAGCGUUAAUCGGAAUUACUGGGCGUAAAGCGUGCGCAGGCGGUUUGCUAAGACCGAUGUGAAAUCCCCGGGCUCAACCUGGGAACUGCAUUGGUGACUGGGCAGGCUAGAGUAUGGCAGAGGGGGGUAGAAUUCCACGUGUAGCAGUGAAAUGCGUAGAGAUGUGGAGGAAUACCGAUGGCGAAGGCAGCCCCCUGGGCCAAAUACUGACGCUCAUGCACGAAAGCGUGGGGGAGCAAAACAGGAUUAGAUACCCUGGUAGUCCACGCCCUAAACGAUGUCAACUAGUUGUUGGGGAUUCAUUUCCUUAGUAACGUAGCUAACGCGUGAAGUUGACCGCCUGGGGAGUACGGUCGCAAGAUUAAAACUCAAAUGAAUUGACGGGGUCAUAGCUGUUUCCU